Molecule: long non-coding RNA, 903 nt
Filed under: Populus tremula
Lineage: Eukaryota; Viridiplantae; Streptophyta; Magnoliopsida; Malpighiales; Salicaceae
Description: long non-coding RNA (PTRE_LNC000149)
Source: RNAcentral
GUUCUCUCAUCUCCACCAAGCCACCGAUCUGCCACCCGAAGCAGAGGAGAAGAAGACGAAGCCCAGCGCCCACCGCGGCGCAACCAGCAGCUCCGGCCACAGAGCCUCCACCAGCAGCCCUUCGGUCACACCGCCGAGUGCUUGAAACAGAAGGGUGGGCAAGCAAAAGACCAGAAUAGAUCGGCGAAGAAGGAAGCCAGACCCGAACCGAUGAAGAAGACCCAAAAACAUAUCUGAAAAAACUAAAAAAAAACUUAAAAUCGACUGCCCUUGUUGUGUUGUUGUUUGUUUUGCAGGUGACGGGCAGCAGUAGAUUGAAGAGGGGAGGAAGCCAUUGCAGCCCCCUCACGCCGCCUGAUUUCUGGGCAGCGCGUGAACCCACGCGCCGCCAGUGACGGUGGCGCGUGGGAAGACGCGCCGCCACUGAUUUCUGCCCCAGCAACCUUCCCGUCACUGUUCCCGAGCACUGUUCCUGCGGAUUCCAUAAAAAUUAGGAUGUUUUAGGGGGUAUUUUGUAAUUUUAAAUGGUUUGAUGUAAAUUUUUUAGUAUUGAAUUUUUAUUGGUAUUUUGUAAAUAUGGAUGUAAAAGAAAAGAAAAGAAAAAGAAAAGAAAAGAAAUAAAAAAAAAUAGUGAAAGUGUAUGUGUGGGUUUGAAUUUGUUAUUUUAUUUAUUUAUUUAUUUAUUUUUUAGGAUAAAAUUGCAAAUCUAUUAAAGAAGAAUUUAAUAUUUUGAUCGGAUCACGGUUAAGAAUUAUUAACUUAUACGUAAGUGAUAUUUCUAAUUUCCGACGAAAAGACAAUUAUUAAAACUUCUUUAACACAUCAAAGUCGCGAAGCAGCUUACCUCAGGUAGGGUGCGUUAGGGGUGCUAAUACCUUCCCUAACCACAACCAGUUCCUUACC